AGCGAACGCUGGCGGCGUGCCUAACACAUGCAAGUCGAACGUGAACGGGGGCAACCCCUAGUAAAGUGGCGUACGGGUGAGUAACACGUAGGUAAUCUACCCUAGAGUCUGGAAUAACCUGCCGAAAGGCGGGCUAAUACUGGAUAGAGCGACGGAACUCGUAAAGAGUUUUUCGGGAAAGGGAGCUCGCAAGAGCCCUUGCUUUAGGAUGAGCCUGCGUCCCAUUAGCUAGUUGGCGGGGUAACGGCCCACCAAGGCGAUGAUGGGUAGCUGGUCUGAGAGGAUGAUCAGCCACACUGGAACUGAAACACGGUCCAGACUCCUACGGGUGGCAG
Molecule: ribosomal RNA, 335 nt
Filed under: uncultured Pseudomonadota bacterium
Lineage: Bacteria; Pseudomonadati; Pseudomonadota
Description: bacterial SSU rRNA
Rfam family: Bacterial small subunit ribosomal RNA
Source: RNAcentral